This 1377-nucleotide long non-coding RNA is filed under the name Oncorhynchus kisutch (coho salmon). Its description in RNAcentral is "lncRNA (ENSOKIG00005046764.1)". Lineage: Eukaryota; Metazoa; Chordata; Actinopteri; Salmoniformes; Salmonidae. The record is from RNAcentral.
CAUAUACUACACUGUUCCAGCUGCUUCUGUCUUCUGUCCCUCUAUCUACCUCUUCUUUCUCACUCAUUUCCUGUCUCUCCCUGUUGUUCCCCGUUUUCCUUCUUGCUCUCUACAAUUCCUCUGACUGCCCUGUCUCUAUCCCUCCCUCCCUAUUCCUCCUUCCUCUCUCUAUCCCUCCCUAUCUCUCUAUCCCUCCCUCCCUAUUCCUCCACCCCUCUCUCUAUCCCUCCCUAUCUCUCUAUCCCGCCCUCCCUAUUCCUCCGUCCCUCUCUCUAUCCCUCCCUAUCUCUCUAUUCCUCCUUCCCUGUCUCUAUCCCUCCCUCUCUCUCUCUCUAUUCCUCCUUCCCUGUCUCUAUCCCUCCCUCUCUCUCUCUCUAUUCCUCCGUCCCUGUCUCUAUCCCUCCCUCUCUCUCUCUCUAUCCCUCCCUAUCUCUCUAUUCCUCCGUCCCUCUCUCUAUCCCUCCCUCUCUCUCUCUCUAUUCCUCCGUCCCUGUCUCUAUCCCUCCCUCUCUCUCUCUCUCUCUCUAUUCCUCCGUCCCUGUCUCUAUCCCUCCCUCUCUCUCUAUUCCUCCGUCCCUGUCUCUAUCCCUCCCUCUCUCUCUCUCUAUCCCUCCCUAUCUCUCUAUUCCUCCGUCCCUCUCUCUAUCCCUCCCUCUCUCUCUAUUCCUACGUCCCUGUCUCUAUCCCUCCCUCUCUCUCUCUAUUCCUCCGUCCCUGUCUCUAUCCCUCCCUCUCUCUCUAUUCCUCCUUCCCUGUCUCUAUCCCUCCCUCUCUCUCUCUAUUCCUCCGUCCCUGUCUCUAUCCCUCCCUCUCUCUCUAUUCCUCCGUCCCUGUCUCUAUCCCUCCCUCUCUCUCUCUCUCUCUCUAUUCCUCCGUCCCUGUCUCUAUCCCUCCCUCUCUCUCUAUUCCUCCGUCCCUGUCUCUAUCCCUCCCUCUCUCUCUCUCUAUCCCUCCCUAUCUCUCUAUUCCUCCGUCCCUCUCUCUAUCCCUCCCUCUCUCUCUAUUCCUACGUCCCUGUCUCUAUCCCUCCCUCUCUCUCUCUAUUCCUCCAUCCCUGUCUCUAUCCCUCCCUCUCUCUCUAUUCCUCCUUCCCUGUCUCUAUCCCUCCCUCUCUCUCUCUCUAUUCCUCCGUCCCUGUCUCUAUCCCUCCCUCUCUCUCUAUUCCUCCGUCCCUGUCUCUAUCCCUCCCUCUCUCUCUCUAUUCCUCCGUCCCUGUCUCUAUCCCUCCCUCUCUCUAUUCCUCCGUCCCUGUCUCUAUCCCUCCCUCUCUCUCUCUCUCUAUUCCUCCUUCCCGGUCUCUGUCCUGAUAAGUUAUCAGCAGGCUCUAUUACAACGCAGUAUUUUGUCCCGCCCUGUAAUUUCCCGCAAUUUUCAUAA